AAGGAAAAAAGCGUAACAAGGUCUCCGUUGGUGAACCAGCGGAGGGAUCAUUACCGAGUUUACAACUCCCAAACCCCUGUGAACAUACCACUUGUUGCCUCGGCGGAUCAGCCCGCUCCCGGUAAAACGGGACGGCCCGCCAGAGGACCCCUAAACUCUGUUUCUAUAUGUAACUUCUGAGUAAAACCAUAAAUAAAUCAAAACUUUCAACAACGGAUCUCUUGGUUCUGGCAUCGAUGAAGAACGCAGCAAAAUGCGAUAAGUAAUGUGAAUUGCAGAAUUCAGUGAAUCAUCGAAUCUUUGAACGCACAUUGCGCCUGCCAGUAUUCUGGCGGGCAUGCCUGUUCGAGCGUCAUUUCAACCCUCAAGCACAGCUUGGUGUUGGGACUCGCGUUAAUUCGCGUUCCCCAAAUUGAUUGGCGGUCACGUCGAGCUUCCAUAGCGUAGUAGUAAAACCCUCGUUACUGGUAAUCGUCGCGGCCACGCCGUUAAACCCCAACUUCUGAAUGUGACCU
This 515-nucleotide ribosomal RNA is filed under the name Fusarium oxysporum. RNAcentral's name for it is "eukaryotic LSU rRNA". The stretch from base 202 to 355 matches the Rfam family "5.8S ribosomal RNA". Lineage: Eukaryota; Fungi; Ascomycota; Sordariomycetes; Hypocreales; Nectriaceae. The record is from RNAcentral.